This 238-nucleotide non-coding RNA is filed under the name uncultured Lachnoclostridium sp. Lineage: Bacteria; Bacillati; Bacillota; Clostridia; Lachnospirales; Lachnospiraceae. The record is from RNAcentral.
GAACUAUUAUCUUUAAUUUGUGGAAUGAAGGAGUAACGCCCUGAAACACAUACCUAAUACUACGACAUGCAAAAUGAAUGGUAAAAUUCAGAAUGUAUGAAGCUCGUUGAAGUCGGCAGAAGCUACCUAAGUCAAUGAAAAAUAGGAGUAGGAAUUGGUUAAAAAAUGUACUAGAGUACGCCCGUUUCAAAACUAUUAAGUAAGAGAUAUGGUACGUAAUAUGUCGGGGUUCUAUAAA